AGACGUCUACAUUAGAUACCCCUGUAGUCCCAGCCGUAAACGAUGCGCGUUAGGUGUAUCGGUGACCACGAGUCACCGAGGUGCCGAAGGGAAACCGUGAAACGUGCCGCCUGGGAAGUACGGUCGCAAGGCUGAAACUUAAAGGAAUUGGCGGGGAGCACCACAACGGGUGGAGCCUGCGGUUUAAUUGGACUCAACGCCGGGAAGCUCACCGGAUAAGACAGCGGAAUGAUUGCCGGGCUGAAGACUCUGCAUGACUAGCUG
Molecule: ribosomal RNA, 264 nt
Filed under: uncultured archaeon
Lineage: Archaea
Description: partial 16S ribosomal RNA
Rfam family: Archaeal small subunit ribosomal RNA
Source: RNAcentral